UCCUGAUAGUUCAGUUGGUAAAGACUCUGCUUGUAAUGCAGGAGAUCCUGGUUCGAUUCCUGGAUCAGAAA
RNAcentral lists this transfer RNA (71 nucleotides) under Bos taurus (domestic cattle). It matches the Rfam family "tRNA". From Rfam's summary of the family: Transfer RNA (tRNA) molecules are approximately 80 nucleotides in length. Their secondary structure includes four short double-helical elements and three loops (D, anti-codon, and T loops). Lineage: Eukaryota; Metazoa; Chordata; Mammalia; Artiodactyla; Bovidae. RNAcentral also lists the same sequence under 5 other names. The record is from Rfam by way of RNAcentral.